This is a long non-coding RNA of Daphnia pulex (common water flea), 565 nucleotides long. RefSeq lists it as uncharacterized. NCBI's taxonomy places the organism in Eukaryota, Metazoa, Arthropoda, Branchiopoda, Diplostraca, Daphniidae. The record is from RefSeq and is a predicted model, not a curated record. The transcript has 3 exons.
GAAUGCUGGUGUAAUCGAGGAACGAACGUCCUUCCAAUCCUGAUCUCUCAUCAAAGUGAGGAAUUUCCGUACCACUUUGCUUUUGAAGGUUACGUACUCUGCGAUUGACAAAGUGGCCAAAAUCCUUCACAAAGACGGACUUGAUUACGUCAGCGUCUGUUAUCCACAAGUUCGGAAGAGAUCCAUCAAAGUAACCGAAACAUCAUCAGCCAUAUUUUGUUACUAUCUCUUGAUCAUAUUUCGAUUCCCCACAUAUUACCAACAAGGGGAAAAGGCUUGGGGCCGGGAAUGCCUUGAUCGGAGAAAUACGUAAAGGACGACGUCACAUACCUUGCCGAUAAUUUGAAAAACAAAUGUUUAUUAUCAGAAAACUGAGACAACAAGUUCGUUGAGAACGAAGCCCACCUGAAGAAGAUAUAUGCAGUUGACACGGUAACAAGAGCCCAUGCCACGGGCGAAUUCAGGAGAAGCGCAGUAGCGUCCAUCUCGAAUGAAAGAACAGACGUGACUGUUGUUUUGUUGUAGAAAAUGAGAGGAUGCCGAAAAUACAAGGCCAUCUUGUGGA